GGUCGCGUGGCUCAAUCGGCAGAGCAUCGUGCUAAUACAUAUAUUAGUCCGAUCUUAACCAAAGAUCAAGUAACGCGAGGGUUGUGAGUUCGAGUCUCACCGUGACCA
Non-coding RNA from Peziza echinospora, 108 nucleotides. The record is from the annotation of a GenBank genome assembly. NCBI's taxonomy places the organism in Eukaryota, Fungi, Ascomycota, Pezizomycetes, Pezizales, Pezizaceae.